Molecule: ribosomal RNA, 313 nt
Filed under: uncultured bacterium
Lineage: Bacteria
Description: bacterial SSU rRNA
Rfam family: Bacterial small subunit ribosomal RNA
Source: RNAcentral
GGGGAAAGAUUUAUCGCCAAAGGAUUAGCCCGCGUUGGAUUAGAUAGUUGGUGGGGUAAUGGCCUACCAAGUCUACGAUCCAUAGCUGGUUUGAGAGGAUGAUCAGCAACACUGGGACUGAGACACGGCCCAGACUCCUACGGGAGGCAGCAGUGGGGAAUCUUAGACAAUGGGCGCAAGCCUGAUCUAGCCAUGCCGCGUGGACGAUGAAGGCCUUAGGGUUGUAAAGCCCUUUAGGUGGGGAGGAAGGCAUUCAUGCUAAUACCAUGGAUGAUUGACGUUACCCACAGAAUAAGCACCGGCUAACUCCGUG